UCCGGUUGAUCCUGCCGGACCUGACUGCUAUCGGAUUGGUACUAAGCCAUGCGAGUCAUUGUAGCAAUACAAGGCGGACGGCUCAGUAACACGUAGUCAACCUAACUCGUGGACGUGGAUAACCUCGGGAAACUGAGAAUAAACCACGAUAGAUCAUAGUGCCUGGAAUGGCUUAUGGUCCAAACAGUUUACUGCCAUGGGAUGGGACUGCGGCCUAUCAGCUUGUUGGUGAGGUAAUGGCCCACCAAGGCGAUUACAGGUACGGGCUCUGAGAGGAGAAGCCCGGAGAUGGGUACUGAGACACGGACCCAGGCCCUAUGGGGCGCAGCAGGCGAGAAACCUUAGCAAUGUGCGAAAGCACGACUGGGUCAGUCCGAGUGAUUCCUGAUAAAGGAGUCUUUUGCUUGUCCUAAAAGCACAGGUGAAUAAGGGGUGGGCAAGUCUGGUGUCAGCCGCCGCGGUAAUACCAGCACCUCGAGUGGUCAGGACGUUUAUUGGGCCUAAAGCAUCCGUAGCCGGCUUUGCAAGUCUUCGGUUAAAUCCACCUGCUCAACAGAUGGGCCGCUGGAGAUACUACAAAGCUAGGGAGUGGGAGAGGCAGACGGUAUUCAGUGGGUAGGGGUAAAAUCCUCUGAUCCAUUGAGGACCACCAGUGGCGAAGGCGGUCUGCCAGAACACGUUCGACGGUGAGGGAUGAAAGCUGGGGGAGCAAACCGGAUUAGAUACCCGGGUAGUCCCAGCUGUAAACGAUGCAAACUCGGUGAUGCAUUGGCUUAUGGCCAAUGCAGUGCCGCAGGGAAGCCGUUAAGUUUGCCGCCUGGGAAGUACGGACGCAAGUCUGAAACUUAAAGGAAUUGGCGGGGGAGCACCACAAGGGGUGAAGCCUGCGGUUCAAUUGGACUCAACGCCGGA
RNAcentral lists this ribosomal RNA (912 nucleotides) under uncultured archaeon. RNAcentral describes it as "bacterial SSU rRNA". It matches the Rfam family "Archaeal small subunit ribosomal RNA", at positions 1 to 922 of the family's 1478-position model. The record is from RNAcentral.